AGAGGUGAUGGUAAUCUGGCUGUGACAUCCGUCAGCCCAUUGAUCUCCAGGGUUGAUUCAACUGACCUUGAUGGCAGUGCGGGUGUCCCCUUCGACACGGCUCCAGGUGCGUCCCUCCCGAAGCUGCACGUGCUCGGCUGACAAGGGUGACCUUUCCCCAUAGGGAAGGGUUGUCUUCAGUCAAAGGUAUACGAGUAGCUGUGCUCCCCUGCUAAAACCUCCAAACAAGCGCUCAAGGUCCCUUAUAUGCUAGCGUAUGACCUGGGAGAGUUAUUCUAAGCAUUCACUUCAUCUGGAAACGGGGAUAAUGUUUCAUUCA
This is a non-coding RNA of Felis catus (domestic cat), 319 nucleotides long. It matches the Rfam family "7SK RNA". From Rfam's summary of the family: 7SK was discovered as an abundant small nuclear RNA in the mid-70s but a possible function has only recently been suggested. Two independent studies have found that 7SK RNA binds the CDK9/cyclin T complex (known as elongation factor P-TEFb). The record is from Rfam. NCBI's taxonomy places the organism in Eukaryota, Metazoa, Chordata, Mammalia, Carnivora, Felidae.